This 2092-nucleotide ribosomal RNA is filed under the name Olivorum cimiterus. Its description in RNAcentral is "Rhizaria sp. GAS-2018e partial small subunit ribosomal RNA". It matches the Rfam family "Eukaryotic small subunit ribosomal RNA". The record is from RNAcentral. Lineage: Eukaryota; Cercozoa.
ACAGUAUCAACGCAGAGUACGGGUUCACAUUUGAUCUUGAUGUGGUGUGAAGCUUUGUUUUCAGAUAUUAUCCAUGCUUGUUUAAAAUAGCACCGAUCUUUGGUGUAAUUUGCGGAUAGCUCAUUAAAAAAUCUGUUCUAUACAACAUAUUGAGAUAAAAAUACACGGAUAAACCGGUAACUCCAUUAAUAAUAAGUGCUAUCAUGGGAUGAUUUAUUAUCCCAGAACAACGACUCUUCGGAAGUUGGCAUUUAUUAGUAUUUGAACCAACUAUAUAUAUCUCUCUCGGGGGAUGUAUAUUGUAAUGAAUUCUAAUAAUUAAGCGGAUCUCUUUUUAUUUUUAUAGUAGAAAGUAGACAAAUGUUAUUAACAGAUUAGACAUUAGUUUGAUAGUAGUAUCGAGGACUACUAUGACGUUGAUGUUUACGUGGAUCAAAAGAUUGAUUACGGAGAAUUGAUUUGAGAAAUCGUCAAUAUUUCUAAGGAAAGCAGCAGGAGCGCAAAUUGUUCAAUAUAAAUACUAUGAAACAGUUACCAACUGUAAUUUUUUAUACAUUAUUUAUUUAAUGUUUUAUAAAAUAUUAAUAAAAUAUUUAUUCAAACCCAUUUUGGGAAAAAGAUGGCCAUUGCUUUGCCAGCAGCAGCGGUAAUUAUGCAUCUUUGAGUUUGACAUCCAAUUAUUGCGAUUAAAACGUUCGUAGUUCGUAUAUUUAAUUUUUGCAUUAGUGUUAAAAGGGUCUCCUUUUAUUUAUUUCUUUUAUAAUUUUUAUUAUAAUUGAAAUACGCUAUUGUUUUUAAAAAUUAACAUAUUAUAAAAAAGGGCCGUUAAAAAGUCUUUUUUUAUAAUUUUACCAUGAGAAAAAGAGAACGCUACAAGUGGGCUUUUUUUAAUGCUUUGAAUCAUUCAGCAUGGGACAAACACAACAGGCUUAUGAAAUAAUAUAUAGCAAUAUAUAUCUAUUUGAUAUUAUUAUAUUAUUUUAAUCUUUAUAUUCCAAUAUAAAGAUAUAAUAUAAAAUAUUUUUAAACUUUGUUAUGACGUUGGUUUUACAUGUUUAAGUCAUGAUCGAUAAGGAUAGAUGAGGAGAUGUUUGGAUUCCAGAGUUAGAGGUGAAAUUUGAUGAUCUCUUGAGGACAAACUACAGCGAAAGCAUUCAUCAAGUAUAUACUUUUUAAUCAAGAACGAAAGUUAGAGUAGCAAAGACGAUCAGAUACCGUUAUAGUUCUAACCAUAAACGAUGACAUCUCAAGAUAUCAUUUUUUUUUAUUUUAAUUAAUUUUAAAGUUAUAUCCUCAUUUUAGUAUGGGGAUAUAAUGAAUAUAAAGUUCAUCAAAUUAUCUAUUUUUAUUUAUGUAAAAAUAGUAAUUUACUCGACAAAUGAUGCAUUGUUUUAUGAAAAUAAAGCUGUCUUCGUGGAGUGUAUGUUAGCAAUGAUGAAAUUUGAAAGAAUUGACGGAAGUAUCACAACAAGUUUUGGAUUGUGCGAUUUAAAUUGACCCAACGCGGGGAAGCUUACCAGGGCAGAACACCGUGAGGAAAGACAGAUUGCAGCUCUUUCUUGAUUCUGUGCUUGAUAUAUGUAGUGCAUGGCCUUUGGCAAGUGGGUAGAGUGAUUUUUCUGAUUAAUUUCGAUAACUAGCGAGAUCCUAACCUUGAUUCUAUAUUAUAUUUUUUAUAUAGUAUAGAAAUAAUGUAAAUACAACUAGAUAUAGUAGUAAUAUACUAUACCUGCAACAUAUUGAAUUUAUUUUAAUAUGAGUUGUUCUUAAAGGGACUAUUUGUGUUUUAGCAAAUGGAAGAUUUGGGCGAUAAAAGGUCCGUGAUGCUCUUAGAUGUUCUGGGCUAUACGCGCUAUACACUGAUUCGUUCAACAAGUUUUUUGUAUUAAUAUAAAUUUCUUUACGUAUGAUUUAUUAUGCGUAAAUUAUAUUUACACCUGUUAUGAAAAUAAUGGGAAAUCUUUGAAAACGAAUCGUGCUGGGGAUUGAAAAUUGUAAUUAUUUUUCAUGAACGAGGAAUAACUAGUAAUUGUAUGUCAUCAGCAUGCAAUGAAUACGUUUCUGGUCUUUGUACACACCGCCCGUACUCUGC